This 738-nucleotide ribosomal RNA is filed under the name uncultured Armatimonadota bacterium. Its description in RNAcentral is "bacterial SSU rRNA". It matches the Rfam family "Bacterial small subunit ribosomal RNA", at positions 513 to 1247 of the family's 1533-position model. The record is from RNAcentral. Lineage: Bacteria; Bacillati; Armatimonadota.
CGCCGCGGUAUACGUAGGGGGCGAGCGUUGUCCGAAUUUACUGGGCGUAAAGCGCGCGUAGGCGGACUCUUAAGUUGGUGGUGAAAUGCCGAGGCUCAACCUCGGAACUGCCUUCGAAACUGGGAGUCUUGAGGCUUGGAGAGGGAAGUGGAAUUCCUGGUGUAGCGGUGAAAUGCGUAGAUAUCAGGAGGAACACCGAUGGCGAAGGCAGCUUCCUGGCCAUGUCCUGACGCUGAGGUGCGAAAGCCAGGGUAGCGAACGGGAUUAGAUACCCCGGUAGUCCUGGCCGUAAACGAUGGAUGCUAGGUGUUAGAGGUAUCGACCCCUCUAGUGCCGAAUCAAACGCAUUAAGUAUCCCGCCUGGAGAGUACGGCCGCGGGGUUGAAACUCAGAGGAUUUGACGGGGGCCCGCACAAGCGGUGGAGCAUGUGUUUUAUUACGUCACUAACCGUAGAACCUCACCCAGGCUUGACAUCUGCUGAAAGCGCCUGAAAGGGUGGCCCCGGUAUUUUUAUAUCGCAGCAAGACAGGUGUUGCAUGGCUGUCGUCAGCUCGUGUCAUGAGAUGUUGGAUUAAGUCCCGCAACGAGCGCAACCCUCAUCCGAUGUUGCCAGCGUAAAGUCGGGAACUCUUCGGAAACUGCCCGUGCAAGCGGAAGGAAGGUGGGGAUGACGUCAAGUCAGCAUGGCCCUUACGCCUGGGGUUACACACAUGCUACAAUGGAUGUAAACAAUGGGC